UACUUAUAUAGCAUAGUCAAAUAGUUGUUAUUUUAGUGAUUAUUUUUUUUCUCUUUGAGAGAUCUGAAAUUCAAUGGCCAUGGAAGAGAGGGACUGACAGAAGAGAGUGAGCAUACACAUAUAAUUAUAUAAAUAUUUUUGCUUAAUUUUCUUGAUAUAUAUUGUAUAUAUAAUUUUGCGAGUGCUCACUUCUCUUUCUGUCAAUCUCUCUAGGAAUGGUCAAAUGGUACGUGAGUUAGAUUUAGAUUGUAUUGUGAGAUUGUUUGGUUUCAAUUGUGUUAAAAGGGAGAAAUGCAAUGAGUCAAACCAUAGUGGAAGAGGAUCGGAUUGGCCUAACCUAUGGUGUACCGCCAGUUUUUUUUUUUGUUGGAAAAUAUCUAGCAGCAGCAGAUCAAGAAAAGUAAAAUUUCCAGUUUUUAGGUUUUGUGGAUUUGUAAGAGGGCAAGGAAGAAAAAUUAGUAAAGAAUAGAACUUUGAAUAUUGCUAUCAAUGGAAGUUGAAAAAGUUCCUCUUACAGUGGUUUUUUACACAUAAAUUUAUGUUCCGCAUUGGAAGUACUAUGUUUAGAUGAACCUGCUGCUAAAUAGAUGCAUUCGUAUAAUCUUCAUACUUUUGCCGAUUAUAAGUAGUUUGCGCACACCUCGAUCAUUUCACCGGGUACCUGAUACCUCCACAACAUAUGUAGCCCAUCGGGUAAUUUUGUCUGCCAAGGCUUAACAAAUGAGAACAAAACACCUUGCCUCCACUAAGGUAUGAACUUGAGAUCUCGUAGUUCUCCUCUCACUUUAUUGACCACUAUUAAUAGGCACAUCCUUGGGUGAAAUUCAUUUGAACAUAUAUAUUUAAACUAUUGAUAGUUGUGGUUGUUGUCUACAUGGUAUGCGACACCACACAAUGUUGACUAAUGUUGAGCCAGGAGAUAUUCCCUUGGAUCAUUAUAGCGCUUGUUGAACAGUUGAGUAGAAAUGGAUAGGUUAUAAGAAGUAGAAAACCCAUAUCAAUCUAUCUCUAUAGGAGACAACAUGACCAAAGGACGGGAACGGUUAAAUCCUUUGGAAAAGAAUUCACCCCCUCAUCAAUUAUAUAUUAUGAAAUGAAGGAAAUACCUCCAUUUCCAUCUUCUUUAUCAAAAAGUGUUCUUAUGUGUAUAAAUGGUAAAAGUUGAAAUCCAUGGUCUUGAAGAAGCUUUAAUUCCUAUAAGGCUUCUUUCAGUUUCAAGACUUAGUCUUUAUGCUCUUUGGUUAUGUAGCACACAUGUUGAGUAUAAACAUCGUUUUCGUCAAGUUAACAAAAGCCAUUUUACUAGAUAUUGUGUGUUUCUGUAAGGGGAAGAAGAAAGAAUAAUCAGUGAUAAGAAUAUUAGAGAGUUUUAAUUUUAGUCCUGUUAUUGGCAUAAAGGUUCUCAUGGAGAAAUCUCUGAUUAUGGUUUCAGAAGGUCGGAUAUUAAUGCAUCAAUUGAUACAAGAAAUCGGUUGGUAUAUUACUUGACAAGAUGCUUCGGAUGAUUAAAGAAGAUAUAGUAGGUUGUGGAUGCCUGGGAAUAUUUUUCAUGUAUUUAGAGGAGAUUUACCAAGUGUUUGCACAAACUAUGUUGCUUGGACUCUUUAAAAAUGGCGGUGGGUGCAUGUCGGAUCCUCCAAAAGUAGUGCAUUUUCGUAGGAUCCAACACGUGUGCGGCAUCAACUUUGGAGAGUCCGAGCAACAUAGUGCACAAAUGAUAAAUCUCUAAUUAGUUAUUAGUUCAAGCAGCAACUGAUGUAUGAUGUAACUUUAUAAAUAUCCAUGAUCAUACUUCUUUCUCCAAUUUUCCUUUUUGCCUGUUUGUUCUUUCUUAAUAAUCAGGGCGUUGAAAAGAUCGAAGGCAUGUGACUGAACUUGUAGUGCAGUUUCUCAGUAUCCAAAAUUCAAAUGUUUGUCAGGGUCCUGAUUUUCUUCAUGGUGAGUUGAGUUGGAUGUCCAUCAAGAAGUCUGUCUGUUAGUUUUCGGGAGAGAAAAGCUUGUUGUUUUGAAGUUGAAAGAUAGCUGAAUUACACAACUUUGGCAAGGCUCCAACGUUUAUAUAUGGUCGGAGUACUAAUUAUCUGGCUAUUUUGCUUUCUUGCUGUUUGAUUUGUUUCAUUAUGACAGGUUCUAGUAAGGUUGAUUUGUUUCAUCAACCUUAGCCAAUGACAGAAGCUAGCAAGGACCCCGGAUUUUUCAGGUACCAGUAAUCUUGAAAGUGUUAAGGUUUUGAUUCUAUCAGCCUGCUUAAAACUCGAAAAGUUCCUAAAAAAAUAGAAGAAGAAAUGAAUCGUUUUUCGAAAGUGUACUUGGAUGGAGCUUCUUUGGGAGAGGUACGCGCAUCACUUGAGAACCUUCCAGGGGUUAGUUUUAAUGUUUGAUAAAUCUUAGUUACUGCAAGCAUCUUGAGAAUCUCCCAAGCAGUGUUUUUAGAUUGAAGUGUCUUAAGAACACUUGCUCUAUUCGGGUGCUCAAGACUCGAAAAAAUAUCAGAUGAUGUGGGACUUUUAACGGGCUUAGAGGAGCUCCGCUGUGAUGGCACAGCCAUCCGAACACUUGUCUUUUCGUGGAUAUAAUGCUUUGGGUUUAAAAGUAGACAACUCAUUCUUCUCCGUUUGGC
Molecule: long non-coding RNA, 2620 nt
Organism: Solanum stenotomum
Lineage: Eukaryota; Viridiplantae; Streptophyta; Magnoliopsida; Solanales; Solanaceae
Exons: 5
Source: RefSeq, a predicted model, not a curated record